UAAAAAUCAAGAAAUAGAAAAAUAAUUAACAAGAAAUCCGGAAAUGAUGAAGCAGAAGUGACGCAACAGGAACUUCAAAAACGUACACAACAAACAUGGCGUCUCCCAGCGAGGCAGAUGUGAAUGUUUCACACGUGGAAAAAAAGAAAAAGCGUCCAGUUCGUUACUGGCAGGGGACAGAAGGCAAAACGAAAGAUGACAACAAAACUGAAGGACAACCUGAGCAGCAGAAGAGGCAACAGAAUCGAAUAAAAAA
Poecilia latipinna (sailfin molly) is the source of this 256-nucleotide long non-coding RNA. RefSeq lists it as uncharacterized. The transcript has 2 exons. The record is from RefSeq and is a predicted model, not a curated record. Lineage: Eukaryota; Metazoa; Chordata; Actinopteri; Cyprinodontiformes; Poeciliidae.